AUUGAACGCUGGCGGCAGGCCUAACACAUGCAAGUCGAGCGGCAGCGGGAAAGUAGCUUGCUACUUUUGCCGGCGAGCGGCGGACGGGUGAGUAAUGCCUGGGAAAUUGCCCAGUCGAGGGGGAUAACAGUUGGAAACGACUGCUAAUACCGCAUACGCCCUACGGGGGAAAGCAGGGGACCUUCGGGCCUUGCGCGAUUGGAUAUGCCCAGGUGGGAUUAGCUAGUUGGUGAGGUAAUGGCUCACCAAGGCGACGAUCCCUAGCUGGUCUGAGAGGAUGAACAGCCACACUGGAACUGAGACGCGGUCCAGACUCCUACGGGAGGCAGCAGUGGGGAAUAUUGCACAAUGGGGGAAACCCUGAUGCAGCCAUGCUGCGUGUGUGAAGAAGGCCUUCGGGUUGUAAAGCACUUUCAGCGAGGAGGAAAGGUUGAUGCCUAAUACGUAUCAACUGUGACGUUACUCGCAGAAGAAGCACCGGCUAACUCCGUGCCAGCCGCCGCAGUAA
RNAcentral lists this ribosomal RNA (508 nucleotides) under uncultured bacterium. Its description in RNAcentral is "partial 16S ribosomal RNA". It matches the Rfam family "Bacterial small subunit ribosomal RNA", at positions 30 to 523 of the family's 1533-position model. The record is from RNAcentral.